AAAGUCUUCUGACAGCGAAUAGCAAGGAUAAAUGUUCUAAGGCCAUAAUGAAUUAGAUGUUUUGAGAAAUAGAGAAUAAGAAAUGGCAACCCACUCCAGUAUUCUUGCCUGGAAAAGCCUGUGGACAGAGGAGACUGGCGGGCUAUAGUCCAUGGGGUUGCUAGAGUUGGACAAGGCUUAGUGACUAAAUCACCACCACACCUCAGUGCAGCUGGAGCACGUUGAACUGAGGCCUAGAAUGGAGAGGAAUGAGGACUAUCUUAAAUGUGUGUGGACGCUUCUUUUCAAGGAAUGUGUGAAGCUGUCACCCUGCGGCAGCUGCAGGACAAUCCAGAUGUUACACAUAUGAAAUCCUGGUCUCAGCAUGGUGAUGAUCGUCAAAUGAGAACAGCC
This 393-nucleotide long non-coding RNA is filed under the name Capra hircus (goat). RNAcentral's name for it is "lncRNA (ENSCHIG00000006937.1)". The record is from RNAcentral. Lineage: Eukaryota; Metazoa; Chordata; Mammalia; Artiodactyla; Bovidae.